This is a long non-coding RNA of Panthera uncia (snow leopard), 2193 nucleotides long. RefSeq lists it as uncharacterized. The record is from RefSeq and is a predicted model, not a curated record. Lineage: Eukaryota; Metazoa; Chordata; Mammalia; Carnivora; Felidae. The transcript has 4 exons.
CCAGUUUACAAACUGCCUUUUUUGGUGUGUGCACACUCAACUUCUACUAAUGACUACUUUGGUGAGUCAUCGGUAUUGCUGCUGUUAUUUCUGAACUUUUGACAUUUCAUGGUGUGAGAAGUUGAAUUCAGAGAAGACGCCUGAUGACUCGGAGACCGGUGAGCAAACAGGUGCCGGUGCCCACAGAGCCUGCCGAGCCCCCGGCUUUUUUGCGACCCCAGAAUUUGAGGGUCAGUCUCUCUUGGAUCCAAGCUCCACUUUCUUUGUGUUUGGAGCUCUCAGACUAUAUUGUGAUUUUAUUUGUGGAAGUGUCUUGAUCUUUCACUACGGCCAUUUUCAAGUCUUUUGCCAUAUACAGACAGCUUUUCUCUGAGGCUUUUGCAAAGUGUUCCUGCAAAAAUGCUUCAUGUUCAAAAAGAUCCAUGGAAAAGCCCCUGAUGAAUAUUCUAAAAGCUAUAAGCUGGACAGGAUUAUGAAUUCUUCCAGUUUCCUCUAAUAUUUGGCUAGAACUCUCCAAACAAACAUUUCCAAUCUUCUCCCAUUCUUUGGACUUGGAAUCACUAUGAAACUAACAUCGCAUCUUUCCAAAGCCAUGCAAGCUGAAGCUGGACAAUUUGAUGUAAACUUCAGGGAAACCACUGCAACAGCUCACGUGUGGACAAUUUUCAUGCCUGUGGCUGUGUGGCCACUCAGAAAGAUCACCAGAGACAUUCACACUGCAAACCAGAAAAAUUUGUCGGAUUGCCGCUGCCUGCCCUCGCUCCACCGGAAGAUGCUUAGAACCUGACAUCUAGACAUCUUCUCAACUGGCUGUGAUCCAAACUCAGAAGCUGAAUUUAUAAUUUUCCCAAACUAUUAACCUUUGUUUUUCUUAUGUUUCUGUAGAAAUGCCUCUCAUUAAGUCACCUGAUUGCUCACAUCAUGUAGAGGUCUAACUUAAUUGGAAGGUCACCAACAAUAGCACCUCCUGAAAGGAAACACCCUCAUGUUCAUGCUGUCCUGAGUAGCCAUGAGGAUGCGUGUUUACUAGCGUAUCGUUUUGUGCUUAUGUAAAUAACUUAAAAACAAUUAUAACCUGUUUGCGUUAUAUAACUGGUUAAACCUUGGCUCUUUUGGGGAAUCUCUACUCUGGGGAAUUUCUCAAUCCUUGGCUGUUAUUCUUACAGUCAUCAUCUUAACCUCUCUGGCACGUGAUAUACUCGUGAGGGUUUUAGAUGCCUGCCGGCAGCCACUCAAAUGCCAAACGGUAUCCAUCAGAUUCAGAGAACGGGACGAAAUCAAAAAUAACCACAAAUAAUGAAGACAGUGACUACAUGGCCCUCUGUCCUGACAACUCAGUGGGAACACUGAAGGUGUAACUCUUCGAUCUGGCUAUAUCAGCAGUGUGAUGAAAAGCACCAGCUUUCUCUCACAGAGCUUCCAGUCCAGUGAGGUCCCCCAAACCUCUCUCUGCAAGGACUACUGCAGCUCCUAAGUGUUCUCUGCUCCAUACGACCCUUGGCUUCCAGGAAUGAUUUCCAGAAGAUUCCAGUUACGGUGCACUAUCUGGGAGAAGUAUCACAUUGUCCUGUUAUCGUCCAUUUCGAACGAUCAGUUUGUUGGCUGAAAUAGCAUCUCUCUUGGCAGAGAUCACAGGAUCAGAGACAGUGAGAUGUGAGGCCAGCUCCCUCCAGAAGCUUGUGCUCAGUUCUGGAGGAUCCCACCACGGGAAGACUGGGGGAGUUUUGCAAUUUUUUUGGUUUCAUUUUGUAUUUAUAAUUUAAAAAAUGUUGAAUUGCGGUAAAAUACACAAAGCAUAAAGUUUAGCAUAUUAGCCAUUUUAAGCAUGUAGUUCAGUAGCAAUAUGGUACAUUCCCACUGUGGUGUAACCAAUCUCCAGAACUUUUUUGUCUUGCAAAACUGAACCUCUGUAAACAUUAAACAACAACUUUCUAUUCUCCCUCCCCACCCCACCCCCGCCCCACCUCAGCCCUGGCAACCACCAUUCUACUUUGUUUCUAUGAAUCUGACUACUCAUGUAAGGGAAAUCGUACAGUAUUUGUCCUUUCGGGAUUGACUUAUUUCACUUAGCAUAUGUCCUCAAGGGUCUCUCAUGUAGCGUGUGUCAGAUUUUCCUUCCUUUUUAAGGUUUGUUAACAUUCCACUAUAACAUUAUAUAUGUUUAUAUGAAUAUAUAAUAUUCCAUGUGUUUAU